RNAcentral lists this ribosomal RNA (434 nucleotides) under uncultured bacterium. RNAcentral describes it as "bacterial SSU rRNA". It matches the Rfam family "Bacterial small subunit ribosomal RNA", at positions 608 to 1042 of the family's 1533-position model. The record is from RNAcentral.
CUAAACUGAGGGAGGUACGUCGAAACUGACCGGCUAGAGGGACGUAGAGGUAAGCGGAACUCUCGGAGUAGCGGUGAAAUGCGUAGAGACCGAGAGGUACCCCGAUGGUGAAGACAGCUUACUGGGCGUCUCCUGACGCUGAAGCGCUAAGGCCAGGGGAGCGAAGGGGAUUAGAUACCCCCGUAGUCCUGGCUUCAAACGAUGUGGGCUUGGUGUCGGCCCCCUAUAGAGGGUCGUUGCCGGAGUUAACGCGUUAAGCCCACCGCCUGGGGAUUACGUCCGCAAGGAUGAAACUCAGGGGAAUUGACGGGGGCCCACACAACCGGUGGAGCACGUGGUUUAAUUCGAUGAUAAGCGAAGAACCUUACCAGGGCUUGACCUAGCGGUAGUAGAACCCCGAAAGGGGAACGACCUCAAGCUUUGCUUGAGGAGCC